CCGCCGCCGCCGUUCGCCGGGAGUCCAUUAUUAUCGCCCCAGUUCUCCUUGCGCUACCACUCAAACGCAGCGUGGAGCUAUUGCGCAUAACAGGAAAAGAGCAUGAAGAGCGCAUGCGCAGCUAUGGCCCUACUAACUCCCAGUCUUUCCUAGUAUCCUGCCAACGGCCGUCGUGUAUCAUUGAAUUAUAAAAAAGUUACCGCAAAACCAACAAAGAGUCUUCUGGCACUUUAAGCCUAACAAAUGUAUUACGGCAAAAGUUUUCGUAGACGACAUCUCACUUUACUAAAAUAGACCACCAUAUUCUGUAUUGAGAUAAUAGUUCUUGAUUCGGAAUGAGAAGCUAUUCCGUGGGGCGGAAAUGAGACCUUUCCAAGGAGUCAAUGGAGAAAUCGAAGAUUUUAGAGAAGCUGUGAUAGUGCAGCAGGUAUUUUCACAGACUGCAAAAGACACCGGUGAAAAUAGGAUUGUCAGGUUUCCGGUUUUCAUCCAGAGAUUUUUGGGGUCCUCUCUGGCCUCUGGGAUCCUGCUUUCUUCUCUGUUUGAACUCAGAUCAGAUAACAGAGGGAGAAGGAAAGGUGAAGCAAGCCAAUGGGAAUCCAACAGAAGCAAGAGGCAUGGAAGGAGAUGGAGUUGGAACCACCCACACAGGAAAUAGCAGGGCCAAGUUUUUCUGUCUCCUUUUUUUUUGGAAUAUACCUGUAUGAGAAAAUACAGAUUAAGGGAGGAAAAAGUGUGGGAAGGCAGUGAUUGGAGAAUGUUGUAUGGACAACAGAAAAUUAAUGGACAUACAAGAAGCCUACUGUGUGUUUAACAGAUUAGUUUGAAGUAAGCAUAGACAGCUUUGGAGAGUACCUGCAGCCCCCACUGCCAAGCCUAAGCCUAAGGGGGUUUCUCACACAACCAAGAACUUGAAAUCAUGUGUAAGGCUACUAGGCUGAUUCCCUUCACAAUUCCUCAUCCAGCCCCCCAUGUGGCUGCAAUGGAGGAGCAUUGGCCAUGCAUGAUUAAUGUACCAUCAUGUUCCGUGAUCUCCUCCUGAGGGCCCGUGACACAACAAAGGGGAGGAAUACCAUCUCAAGAAAAGAGGGGCAAGGGAGGUGGUUUCUGCUGAGCUUGAAAAAAAAAUCAAUUUGCUUCCCCAUCUCAAAUCUGUCACGCUCAAGCACUAAGGCACUGGGUACAGCCAGGCUCUAUAUCCUAACCCCAACCAUCUACCACUACUAGGCUCCAUUCCUGUCACACCAGCUUCUACCUUCUAUCUGCCAGGUACCACCCUUUAGCUCCUAUGCUGUCCCCAAGCCCCAGGAAGACAAGCAAUCCUAGAUAAUGGGAGGGUAGAAGAAACAGUAACGGGCCAGUUUAGAAGACAGAAAUGCAGUGGGCUUCUGAUCCCUUCUAUUGCCAGUUUUAGGGAGCUCCUCACUAGAUACUAGAAACAACUCUCUGCCCUCUCUCAGCAGUUUCCAACAACAGAGCAGGCAAAAAUGAACUAGCUGCUGGUGAACCAUCCUACCCAAGUAACAGCCUGUGUUUGGCUUGGUGGAGCAAACAUUGUAUACUAUAAAUCAAAUGUUUUAAGAACAGCAACAAUGUCUACCCCCCCCCCCGGUUGAGUUUAAUUUAGGUUGGAUUACACAGGGUAGUUACAGAAAUGCAGAAACUCAGAUAUAUAGAUGCAAGGAAGAUUCAGCAGCCAGUAGCUAAACUAUCAAAUUCACCCAAGAGGUAGUGAUGGCAACCAGCUCGGAUGACUUGAAAAGAGGGUUAGACAAAUUCAUGGACAAUAAUGCUAUCAGCCACAAUGGCUUUCUUUCUCCGCUGUCAGAGGCCUCUAAAUAUCAGUUGCUGGGAUUCACAAGUGGGGAGAAUGCUGAUAUACUCAGAUCCUGUUUGUGGGUUUCUCUCAGGGAUCUGGCUGGCCACUGUGAGAACACAAUGCUGGCCUAGAUGGGCCUUUGGCCCGCUCCCAGUGCUCUUAAGUGCUUGUCAUGAUCACUGCGGUCCCUCUGGCCAGCAUCACUAACUCCUUCCUUCCACUCUUUGAGCUAGGACGGAGAGUGUCAUACCUAUAGUUGACCUAUAUGAAUGAGGCCCUCCGAACACUUGUGACAUGCUAGAGAACAGGCACAAGUCCCAGCCCUCCUCUUGACCUGCUUCAUAUCAUUAUGGGAUUUGGAGGUUGAAAUGGAUGAUUUCUACGAAUCCCCUUUCCAGCCUCUGAUUUGGGAUCUGCAAACGGAGAAACUUGCCCUACUGGUGAGACUAGUUCCAUUCAUAAGUUUAUGGAUGCAGCUAAGUCUGUCAAGUACACCCAUUAACAAGGGUAAGAACUGGCCAGGAGAGGAAUGUUGACAGUAAGAUCUCUUUCAGGAGAGAGGCCCUUUUCCCACCCCACCCCAAUCACCUGGUGGGGGCCCACUCAUGCUGGAGCCAGGAAGUGGUUAGUAUUAGAGCAAGGAAAGGCUGGGAACUUAAAAAAGGGAAACUCACUUGCUCUGUGUCUGAAGGGACCCCAAAGGUAUGGGCCUUGGGGAGCAAGAUCUGAUGGACUAUUAAUGUGGAGAAUCAUCCAUCUUAUGCUCAGACUGUGAAUAUGUGUAAAUAAAUAAUAUAAAGUCUCUGUUGACCUGCUUUCCACAGGAAACCAAGCCUUGAGUAAACAACGGCACCCCUGGAAGUCUUGUACCGCUUGGCAAUUGGGGUAGAAUGCAACAAUAUUAAUAGGGUGCUGUAAUAGCAGGCAAGAUGUGGGGCUAAUGCCCUAAAUAACAGAAUUGAAACCCGUCUGCGGAAGGCAAACUUCCAAGGCAGACCACUGAAAAGUAACAGCCUGAAGGUGCCUGUCUGUAUCUGCCCUGCUCACAGCCCAGCCAGGGGAACAGUGCCAAACUCAGUCUGAGCAUCCAGUCCUUAGUAAGUUGUAAUCAGCAAACGUAAGCAGAAAUCAUAAAGGAGUCAUUGCCACACAAUGGGAAGCAAGAAACUCCAAGCCAGUGUGCAGGCAGAUGGGGAGAGAAAGAUGUCAGGCUACUAAAAAGAGCAUGUAGAAAGGAUGUGCAUCUAAUGCCUCAGACUUCUUGACCUUCCUUCUAUUUCAAACCUGGAGAAAUGUAACUGCAAAUAGACUUUGAUGUGUCACACUAACAGCAUGUCUAGGGUGAAGAUGCAUCCCAGAAUAUCACUGUUUUUACCGGCAGUGACUGAUAAGAAAGAGGGUGUAUGCACAAGGCUAUUGCUAUCUGCCACAGAAAGGCAUCUGAUGUGGAGAAUAAAGCUUAUAAACAAAUUCUAUCAAGAAUGGAAGGAAAGAGACCAGCUAUCAUUAAAAUUGAUUUUUAUUUGA
Rhineura floridana is the source of this 3346-nucleotide long non-coding RNA. RefSeq lists it as uncharacterized. The record is from RefSeq and is a predicted model, not a curated record. Lineage: Eukaryota; Metazoa; Chordata; Lepidosauria; Squamata; Rhineuridae. The transcript has 3 exons.